UACGGGGGGGGCAAGCGUUGUUCGGAAUUACUGGGCGUAAAGGGCUCGUAGGCGGCCAACUAAGUCGGAUGUGAAAUCCCCAGGCUCAACCUGGGAACUGCAUCCGAUACUGGAUGGCUUGAAUUCGGGAGAGGGAUGCAGAAUUCCAGGUGUAGCGGUGAAAUGCGUAGAUAUCUGGAGGAAUACCGGCGGCGAAGGCGGCAUCCUGGACCGACAUUGACGCUGAUGAGCGAAAGCUAGGGGAGCAAACGGG
Molecule: ribosomal RNA, 253 nt
Filed under: uncultured bacterium
Lineage: Bacteria
Description: partial 16S ribosomal RNA
Rfam family: Bacterial small subunit ribosomal RNA
Source: RNAcentral